CCUACGGGGGGCAGCAGUGGGGGAUAUUGCACAAUGGGGGAAACCCUGAUGCAGCGACGCCACGUGUGGGAAGAGGUCUUCUGGAUUGUUAAACACCGUUCCCAGGGACGAAAAUGACGGUUCCUGGGGAGGAAGCCUCGGCUAACUACGUGCCAGCAGGCGCGGUAAUACGUAGGGAGCAAGCGUUGUCCGGAAUUACUGGGUGGAAAGGGAGCGUAGGCGGGGAUGCAAGUUGGGUGUUAAAAAUACCGGCUCAACCGAUAGUCGCACUCAAAACUGCAGCUCUUGAGUGAAGUAGAGGCAGGCGGAAUUCCUAGUGUAGCGGUGAAAUGCGUAGAUAUUAGGAGGAACACCAGUGGCGAAGGCGGCCUGCUGGGCUUUUACUGACGCUGAGGCUCGAAAGUGUGGGGAGCAAACAGGAUUAGAUACCCUAGUAGUC
RNAcentral lists this ribosomal RNA (439 nucleotides) under uncultured bacterium. Its description in RNAcentral is "partial 16S ribosomal RNA". It matches the Rfam family "Bacterial small subunit ribosomal RNA", at positions 338 to 795 of the family's 1533-position model. The record is from RNAcentral.